Molecule: long non-coding RNA, 5452 nt
Organism: Siniperca chuatsi (mandarin fish)
Lineage: Eukaryota; Metazoa; Chordata; Actinopteri; Centrarchiformes; Sinipercidae
Exons: 3
Source: RefSeq, a predicted model, not a curated record
GUAACGACUGCUGGUGCAAUGUUGUGACAAGAAGGGCUGGAGGUACAGCAGGGUUUCAAAAGAAUAAGCCUCCCAGAAAGACUUCACACUUCCUGAAAACUGCAAUAUUUUAAUAACCUGCCUGCCUGCCUAGACUCCAUGUCAACUCAAGACUGCCUGCCAAACCAGACAACACCCCUAUAUUCAACUCUCAAUGGAUUGCACACCCUACUUUGCUCCACAGAUUUAACACACUGGAAGAACAACGCCUGUUCCGGUGGGCAAUUUGAAACCAGAGCAGUAAUUUGCCACCGUGGAUGGAUUAAUCUUCAAUGACCAACCACAUCAUUAGUAUCACUUGUAAUUUGGCUUAUUGUAUAAUUAGAUAAUUACACAGUAUAUCAAGACAAAUAAACAUUCUCUUUGCAUUUGUUAUGCAUGAAGUGCAUUUCAUUUUAGCCAAGUAAGCCAUAUAAUUGGAGAUCAGAAAGGUUGAAUACUAUUAGGGACUCAUUUGUUUGGUUCAUUUGUUGGAUAAAAAUAAUUAUAUAUAAUGAUGUAUGUAACAUAAGGUCAUGUCAUUUUAAAUAUAAUCCAGUAUAUAAUUUUAAAAGUUAUAAAGUAACAGUUCUUAUCAGUGACGCAACAGCAGAGAGGUAUUGCUUAGCUCUGUCAUAUUCUGCAGAGAGAGAAAACAUUAUUCUGUUCUCACACCACUGAUAUGAUAAUCAAUUCCACACAUUGUGGGCUGCUUUUCAUGUGCUAAAGGUACUUGUAUCUGCAAAUGCACAGCCACCAUGUUCGUUUCUUUCCUCAGAUGAUGACAACUCCAGAUAACAGCUCAUACAAUUUUAUUUACAUGGAAAAAUUACAUUUUUUGUGAUUAUUUUCUACUGCACACACCUAAUAUCUGUGCCAUAACUAUAAAUGUCUUUAAUUUACAGUCUAGUGCUGGGAAGGCAGUAAAAGGAGUGCAUUAGAAGUACCAUGUAUGUAUCAUACAAGAUGCAAAUUGAUACAUCUCGCCCUGUUUCCUAGGUUAUGUUUUUCUUUGUUUUUCAUAUUUUCAUCAUUUCCUGUUUUCCUGUCACUCACCUCUCCUCUCGUUUCAGAUCACUCCCUGCCCUUGUGUGUUUCCUGCCAGUUCUGACUGUCCUUAGUUGCACCUGUGUCCUGUUAACCCCAUGCACCACAGUAUUAGGUCGGUGUGUGCCCUCACUCUGUGCCACUUUGUCGUAGUACUUUCAGUCUCACGUUCCAGCCUUUACUCCUAGUGUUUUGUGUUUCUUGGUGUUGCCUGUGUACCUGACUUUGCUUCUCCCUACUUGCUGCAUUUGUUUGCUUGUGCUGAUUGACUGCCUGUGUACCGAACUAGACACAGCUUUUUUGUAAGUCACGAGUCAAAAAGUUUGGGAAGCACUGGUUAAAUCUAUAACAACUUUAUAAGUGUUUUCUGUGUUUCUUAUGUAUUUCUUAUGUUCGUCUGAAAAAUUACUAGUAACUAAAUAAAAGUAGAGGAGUAAAAAAAAACAAUAUUUGAAAUGUAGUGUGAGUAUGAAGUACCAUAAAGUGGAUACCCAAAUCUACCUUCCACCACUGCCUACAGGCAAUGUGUUUUCAAAUUAACUAUAAAAUGAGACAAACAAAAAUGUCAAGGUGAUUAUAGGACAUAUAAAACUUACUUAUCUUCAUGCUGUGUGUGCAAAGUUCUGUAGAAGCGUCUGAUAAGUAACUAACACACAACAAAGGUGUUAAUUUAUCUCAGAGAGUGUAAAAUUAUUCACUGUGCCAGAGGUUCCAUAAUUCCACACCCAUCACAGUUCAUUUUUAAGACUUUCAGAUAGUUUUGAACAGCCGCCCCAGGGCCACAUCCACUCUGUGAGCCAACAAACAACACCAACAACAAAUAACUGGCACUGAAAAAUCAACCAUUGGGAGAUUUGCUAUACAGGAUGUUGCUGCAAAUGGACAGUUCCUCUCACAAAUCAGUUUGAGAAAUGUGUUCAUUCCUGACACACAGGACAAAUCAGAUUAUAGCUUGCUGUAUCGUACUCUCUCUGUUGGAUAUCUGUGUAGAAAAAAAGAUAUUGGUGAACUAAUUUUUCUGGGGCUAUACUUGUUUUAUAGUAUGGCACCCUCAGUGCACAAACAUUUUCAUCUUUCAUAGUAUUGUGCUCUGUGAUCAACCCUGUCUCCUAGACAUCGUGUUUAUACAUUACUAAUUUGCCACAGCAAAACAAAUAAUAUGAGAAUGCAUUUAAUUUGUUUUCCUACAAUUUCAAGAUUCAAGAUUACUUUAUUUGUCCCUAGGGAAAUUUGUCUUGGACAUGAAGGCUGCCACAUAAAAAUACAUACAAUUAUAGUGCAGUAACAGACAUAAAGUUAAUAGUGCAGUAAAAGACAUAAAGUGCAUUGCAGAGACAAGUGCAGACAUAAGUGCUUCAUUUCACACCCUCCUUAUGUCCUGAGUUUAGGAGAUUCACUGAUAGAGGGAUGAAAGAGUUUUUAUACCUAUUCAGGUAUCUUUUCCUGCAUAUAAUUGGAACUAGAGCCCUGCACAGGCCACAAAGUCGGCAAUUUUUUAGCCCGAGCCCAGCCCGUGACCAAUACCAAUAUGUCUUUAAGCUUUCUGAUACAUGCAAAAAAACACACACACACUACAAAGAGAUACAUUUAUAAUAGGCCUCAAACAUAACUACCAGUGCCACUGAAAAUCAUGCCCACAAAUAUUAAAUACCGACUGUCCAUUACAGAGAAGCAUAAGCAUGCAGUAGAGAAUAAUGCUCUACACGUAUAAGGGCACAAUGAAAGGAGAGAAGUUAAAUGAGCCCGAGUCCGACCCCAAUCCAUUCUAUAAAAAAAUGUGUCCCUGUUUGGUUUGUUCACGUACACACGCACGAGCUUGCACAUGCAUGUGCACGAGCAUGCGGGUGACGCUAUACACAAUCCUGCCAAUGGUUUCACACCAUUCCACUGAUCUACUGGUGGUGGUAAUACACCAAGCAAUGCAUAAAUGUGUCAGCAAAUGUAAAAAACAAGAAGACUGCUAGCAAGUAAACAUGGAUUUUAACAAUGCAGGUUUCAAAAUGAUCACAAAAUUAGCUUUGCAAAUGUUUUAUGAGGAAGAAAAUGCAUUCAACAUGUUUGUUAGACCUCAAGGAUACACACAAUGCACUCUGGUGAGAAACGACAUUUUGUUUAUGAAAAAACUCCACCGUUACGUUGCGCAACUGUUACGUUAAGGAAAGAUCGUCGUCUUGGUUUAUCAUCAAAAAAGUCAACAUUGGCUUGAAGCACGAGACAGUACGUGUUUACUUUAAUAACAUUUAACCGCAAUCUUUUCCUAACUUUAGCCAAAGUGCUUUUGUUGACCAAACAUAACUACAGGAUACGAUGACCUCGGUAUCAAAUUCCUACACUAUGUACUCCCAUCAUCCACCCCAAAUACCUCGCUACAACUUCCUUCCAGUACAAGAUCGUAGCACUAAGUCACCUGGAAAAUUAAUUCUUCCUGAUCACAAGAAAGGCAGCAAUUAUGUUUUCCACAAAACAUGAUUGGCAAAGCACAUUUGUAGAAUGUUAUUUCCAGGGGACAGGGUUUCUGUGUUUGAACCUUGUAUCAGAGCUGCAAUUUCUUUGCAAGAAUUCACAGAAAAAAAAAAGUUUUUGUUGUGAUAAAAGAUGGGACAUACUUUAGGCAUUUGUGCAACUCUCAGCUGGAAAUGUAAUCUUGUUAACAGACCUUGAAAAAUUGCAGUCCAGCAUGGGUUGUUUAGUUGCUGAAACAUUUAUCUAUACUACAAAGGAUUGGACUUGUGUAAGGUUGGUGACCACAGGAUGUUGAUGUAGUAGUUGUGUCCAAAUCUAGCAUGUCAAUAGGCUGUGCUUCAUAAAUCUGUCUGAUUGAUCCUACAUAUGUGGUUCCAUGACCUUGCAUUGUAGCAUGAGACCUGCAUCCAUGUCAUUGUCACCUGAUUUGCUGUUUUAAUUGACAACAAACAAAAUUGACAUACAGUACAUGGGUUUUAGGAAUUAGAGAUCCAUGUGUUUGUUUGCGUGGAUUUUAAGGGUAAAGGCCUCAUGUUAAAUGUUGGUUCAAACUGUUAGAUAAUAAUCAUGAAUAAUAAUCAUCCUGAUAAAUGGAUUGCGUCUGUCCCAAGAUGUAAAAGAUUACUCUACUUGGAUAAAAAGAUUUAAUCCACCUGUUCAGUUCAGUAAUAUCUAAAUAGGAGUUUCAUUCCUCCUCUGAACAGCUUGACACAUAUUGAAAUGGAUCCUACUGGCAGAAAUAAUGUGCAGUUACUUAGCUUUUCAUUUAACCGACGGGAAAAAAAACUCUAGUGCAGCUGAUAACUCAUCUCCCCCCACCCCAAAUUCCUUUCAAAGCAAUUACAAAAAUGACUCUCUCUGCAAAACCGGAAUAUAAGCCAACACUGUAAGACUGAAUAAACAAUCUAAUUUUACAAUCAUUGCCUCUGGAUUACUGAUAAACCCCUCUCUCAUUUAUUAAACCCUAUGAUCAUAUACUGGUAUUACAUACCAAUAAAAUGGGGACAUGAUAACUUUAUUAUUCGGUCUUAACAAGCAAGUUUUCUAUGUGGAUGUUAGAGUACAGAGACUGAAGAAGAUCUGAUACAGUAGAGGCUUUUACCUGAACAUGUUGUAAUGUUUGCAUAACUUUUUCAAUGUACAAAUUUAGUUGCUGUGCUAUUCAGUAGCCGAAGCUCAGCUCAUGCAGUAGAUUGAGGCUGUAAGGAGAGGAUCAGCAAAGUGGAAUGUUGUCCAUAGUGCAGCUCCUCUGAGAAAUCAAUCCCUGCUACUUAUUUGUGAUGGAGAGGCUUUUAAGCAUGCACAGCAUAGUUGUUUGUGCAGUACUGCAGAACUGAGUGUAUUGGCUGAGGUGAUGCAUUAGAUUGUACAUCUUAUUCUUAAAAUAUAGUAGAUACAGUAUGUCUGGACACAGAAAUUAAAUAGUAACUCAUACACAGUGAUAUAAACUCUGCAAACAUAGACUUCACGUCCUAUUAAUUACAUCUGUGGCAUUUAAGUUAAAGGAAUAGUUCUACAAUUUGGGAAAUACUCUUGUUCGAUUUCUUGACCAGAGUUAGAUGAGAAGAUUGAUACCCCUUUGUCUGUACAAUAAUUAUGAUGCUACAGCCAGCAGCCAGUUAGCUUAGUUUAGCAUAAUGACUGGAAACGGGGAAACAGCUAGCCUGGCUCUGUCCAAAGGUAACAAAAUGCACCUACCAGCACCACUAAAGCUCAAUAAUUAACAUGUUAUAUCUCGUUAGUGUGAUUCAUGCAAUAUCUAAAUUGUUAAAACUGAAGCUUCAUAUUUAGUGUACAGACAUGAGUGGUGUCGAGUUUCUCAUCUAACUCUCAGCAAGAAAGCAAAUAAGCUAGUUCCCAAAAUGUCAAACUAUUCCUUGUUAAACACAUAGUUUGGCUUUUAAUUGUUGAACAGUUUGUUGUA